GUAGAGAAGAGAGAGAAAGAAGAAGAAAGGAAAAGAGGAAGAAGAAGAAAGAAGAAGGGAAAAUCGACCGUAGAGCUUCACCAGAGCUGGGUCUUAGUAUUUUGAGCUUGGAUUAAUGAUCAACUUGGUGGGAUCUUCGAUUUGAGAUUCACUGGGGUGGAUUUCGUUCUAUAGAAGAUCUUUUUUCAUGGUGGAAGAGAAAGUCAAAUGCAGUUCAAUUGCAUCUUGCUUGGGAAGCUCUUUUAAUCAUCAUUCUGUACAAUCUCUGGAAAGAAAGGAACAAAGGAAUUUGCAUCUCAAGACUAUCCCUCAGAAGUCAAAAGAAAUUUGUGAAGUUAUUUUGAAGCCUCCCACCCAUGAAUCCAUAAAGCUGAAUAUAGAUGGGUGUUCGUUAGUAAACCCAGGUCGAUCAGGUGCAGGGGGUGUUUUUAGGGACAGCAGAGGAUCACACAUAAGAAGCUUCUCCUGCAGUCUUGUGUCUCAUCUAAUUUCUUUGCUGAAUUUGAAGCAGACUUGAUUGGGAUUGUCAUGCAAAAUCUAAGAGCUGGAAAAACAUGUGUAUUGAAUGCGACUCUCAGGCGGUGGUUUUUUGCAUACAACAAAAUAUUAUCCCUUGGAUUUUUCAACAACAAUGGAGAUCCUACAAAGCUUUUUUGGAUAGUUCUACUUGGACAAUCUCGCACUAUUUCAGGGAGGCCAACAAUGUUGCAAAAAAAUUAGCUAAACAUGCACCCUCCACUUAGACUUCAACAACUUGGGACACUUCCCCAAAUUUUCUUUUCAAAGAUCUUGUUUGGGAUGCUCAAAUGAAGCCAAGAUAUAGGUUCUUAUAAGAAGGGUUUUUUCUUUCUUAAUUGAGCUAUUUUUCUACUGAUGGCCAUGCCGAAGGUGGAUCAAUAGCUCAAUUUCAGAUUUAGUAAAAUAAUUUUCUUCUUUGUGUUUGUUCUUCUAUCUUGCUGAUGGCCAUGCCAAAGGUGGUUUAGAAGUUCAAUGGUUGAGCAUCACCUUGUA
Molecule: long non-coding RNA, 1011 nt
Organism: Macadamia integrifolia
Lineage: Eukaryota; Viridiplantae; Streptophyta; Magnoliopsida; Proteales; Proteaceae
Exons: 3
Source: RefSeq, a predicted model, not a curated record